This 663-nucleotide ribosomal RNA is filed under the name Enchelycore carychroa. RNAcentral's name for it is "partial 12S ribosomal RNA subunit". It matches the Rfam family "Bacterial small subunit ribosomal RNA", at positions 302 to 1275 of the family's 1533-position model. Lineage: Eukaryota; Metazoa; Chordata; Actinopteri; Anguilliformes; Muraenidae. The record is from RNAcentral.
GAAGAAAAGGAGCAGGCAUCAGGCACGCGCCCGCAGCCCAAAACGCCUUGUUAGCCACACCCCCAAGGGAACUCAGCAGUGAUAGACAUAAGCUAUAAGCGAAAGCUUGACUUAGCUAGGGUUAAGAGGGCCGGUAAAACUCGUGCCAGCCACCGCGGUUAUACGAGGGGCCCAAAUUGAUAUGCUACGGCGUAAAGUGUGAUUAGAGAUAAACUUAUACUAAAGCCAAACACCCCCUAUGCUGUCAUACGCCAUGGAGAACACGAAGUCCAACAACGAAGGUGGCUUUAUGAAUCUUGAACUCACGACAGCUAAGACACAAACUGGGAUUAGAUACCCCACUAUGCUUAGCUUUAAACCAAGGUGAUAACACCACAAACCUCACCCGCCAGGGGACUACGAGCACUAGCUUAAAACCCAAAGGACUUGGCGGUGCCUCAAACCCGCCUAGAGGAGCCUGUCCUGCAACCGAUAAUCCUCGUUAAACCUCACCCCUUCUUGUCGAUCCCGCCUAUAUACCGCCGUCGCCAGUUUACCUUAUGAAAGAAUAACAGUAAGCAAAAUGGGUAACACCCAGUACGUCAGGUCGAGGUGUAGCGAAUGAAGGGGGAAGAGAUGGUCUACAUUUUCUGUUAACAGAACAUCACGAAGAGUGUAAUGAAA